This 1075-nucleotide long non-coding RNA is filed under the name Macaca mulatta (Rhesus monkey). Its description in RNAcentral is "lncRNA (ENSMMUG00000055045.1)". The record is from RNAcentral. Lineage: Eukaryota; Metazoa; Chordata; Mammalia; Primates; Cercopithecidae.
AAUCUCCAUCUCCUGAUUCAAGUGAUCCUGCUGACUCAGCCUCCUGAGUAGCUAGGAUUACAGGCACACAUCACCAUGCCUGGCUAAUUUUUUUUUUUUUUUUUUUUUUUGUAUUUUUAGUACAGAUGGGGUUUCACCAUGUUGGCCAGGCUGGUCUGGAACUCCUGACCUCAAGUGAUCCAACUAUGUCGGCCUUUCAAAGUGCUGGGAUUAUAGGUGUAAGCCACCACCCCCAGCUGAUACUUUGUUAUUGACUUCUAAGAAUUCUAAUAAUAGCCAUUUAUUAUGACACAAGUUAUGCAAUUUCUUUUUUCAUUCUGUCAUUUCUAUUUUGACUUUGCUGCUGGGGUGCCUGUACGUGUGUGUGUUUGUUAUGUGUUCUUUCUCCACUUAUCCUCCCACAACCAUCUCCCACUGACUGUGUCCCUCUGACCCUCUGCCCCAGGAAAGGGGCCUCUGCGUCGUCCAGGUCCUCAUGCAAAGGGGCUUCUGAUUGUAUUCAGCCAAAGCCAGGAGAGGGAGGACAGAAAGAGGGAGCUGCUGUCCAUCUCCAUGGUCCCUUCCUCUUCUGCGCUCCCUCAUGAACAACAGCUAUGCCCUUUUAUAACUUCUGCACGGCUGCAGACUUCAUCAGACUCCAGGACAAAGAAAAGAGACAUGCAAGUACCACAGAAAGUACUACACACCACCCAGAGAUUGAAACUGAAGGUGUGACAACAGAGAAAAGAGAGGGUAAAGAAAAGUAAAACAAAGGAGACGUGGGAUAUGAAAGGUGGAUCCCAUGUGUGGACAUCAAGAAACGUUGUGGCUCCCACUUCUGCCACCAAUUGAACCUGGAACCUCACGACUUGGAGUUGAGAGGAGGUUCUGGAUACAUCCCACAGCAGAUCUGAAUAAACUGCCCCUUGUGGAAGGAUAUUUUAUAAGGAGGGGAGAAAUCUGUUUGCUGCAGGACAAAAUGCCGCUGAAUGGGACCGAAUAAACAGGCAAUCUUGGCUCCCUGGCCUGCUCCCUGGUAGGAUUCUCAGACCCCUAGAGACUGGUGGAGGUGAGACAAGAAAUGUCAUCUUCUCUU